CUGUCUAAAGAGUUGUCUCUCUCUUUUUCAGGAGGAGGAGGAAGAAGAUCCGGGCUGCCCUGAGCAUAGGAGGCUUCAGGGGGAUCGCAGCUUAUUUUCCCGAAGGCUGGUGUAGCUUUAAGUUCUUAUGUCUGCCAGCAGCCUUUCAAAUUGGCUACUGCCACCCCUGUCUGUGUGUUACAUAAAUCCUCACCGCGAUCUGCAGAGACAAGAAGCAAUUAGGCGAGCGAGGAUUUAUAAGGAUGGUGAAGAGUGGAGAGGGGUUCCCAGCAAAGGAUUUAGCAUGAGUAAAAUCAAGGAAGGAUAGAAGAACCGUCCUGAGCUGCAGGAGGUUUGAGAAGGAGAAUACUGAGAGCCCCACCUCCAACACUGGGAACUGAACAUGAGAUUUGUGUGGGGACACAGAUCCAAACCAUACCACUGUCCAAUUAGAAGGAUAAUUCAUUCAUGCAUGAAGGAUUAUAAGG
Molecule: long non-coding RNA, 467 nt
Filed under: Rhinopithecus bieti (black snub-nosed monkey)
Lineage: Eukaryota; Metazoa; Chordata; Mammalia; Primates; Cercopithecidae
Description: lncRNA (ENSRBIG00000045961.1)
Source: RNAcentral